Molecule: small nucleolar RNA, 84 nt
Filed under: Moschus moschiferus (Siberian musk deer)
Lineage: Eukaryota; Metazoa; Chordata; Mammalia; Artiodactyla; Moschidae
Description: Small nucleolar RNA SNORA17 (ENSMMSG00000013792.1)
Source: Rfam by way of RNAcentral
CUUGUAACAGGUACAAAGAAGCCAGAGGCUCAUUUACCCUGAACUCUAUUACAUGAGUUUCAGGAUUUUCUGAAGCCUCAGUUG